UGGGGAAUAUUGCACAAUGGGCGCAAGCCUGAUGCAGCCAUGCCGCGUGUAUGAAGAAGGCCUUCGGGUUGUAAAGUACUUUCAGCGGGGAGGAAGGGAGUAAAGUUAAUACCUUUGCUCAUUGACGUUACCCGCAGAAGAAGCACCGGCUAACUCCGUGCCAGCAGCCGCGGUAAUACGGAGGGUGCAAGCGUUAAUCGGAAUUACUGGGCGUAAAGCGCACGCAGGCGGUUUGUUAAGUCAGAUGUGAAAUCCCCGGGCUCAACCUGGGAACUGCAUCUGAUACUGGCAAGCUUGAGUCUCGUAGAGGGGGGUAGAAUUCCAGGUGUAGCGGUGAAAUGCGUAGAGAUCUGGAGGAAUACCGGUGGCGAAGGCGGCCCCCUGGACGAGGACUGACGCUCCGGUGCGAAAGCGUGGGGAGCAAACAGG
Molecule: ribosomal RNA, 429 nt
Filed under: Chloroflexota bacterium
Lineage: Bacteria; Bacillati; Chloroflexota
Description: Chloroflexi bacterium partial 16S ribosomal RNA
Rfam family: Bacterial small subunit ribosomal RNA
Source: RNAcentral